RNAcentral lists this transfer RNA (74 nucleotides) under Ligustrum quihoui. RNAcentral describes it as "tRNA-Pro". Lineage: Eukaryota; Viridiplantae; Streptophyta; Magnoliopsida; Lamiales; Oleaceae. The record is from RNAcentral.
AGGGAUGUGGCGCAGCUUGGUAGCGCGUUUGUUUUGGGUACAAAAUGUCACGGGUUCAAAUUCAAAUGAAAGAU